Molecule: ribosomal RNA, 468 nt
Filed under: uncultured bacterium
Lineage: Bacteria
Description: partial 16S ribosomal RNA
Rfam family: Bacterial small subunit ribosomal RNA
Source: RNAcentral
GACGAACGCUGGCGGCGUGCUUAACACAUGCAAGUCGAACGGAAAGGCCCUGCUCUUGCGGGGUGCACGUGUGGCGAACGGGUGAGUAUAACGCGAGUAACCCGCCCCUGUCAUUGGGAUAACACCAGGAAACUGGGGCUAAUACCGGAGAGGAGCUCUUGCAGCACGGUGGGGGAUGGAAAGAUUCGGCGGUGGGGGAUGGACUCGCGGCUUAUCAGCUUGUUGGUGGGGUAGGGGCUUCCCAAGGCUUUGACGGGUAGCCGGCCUGAGAGGGUGACCAGCCACCUUGGUCCUGCGGUACGGACCAGACUCCUACGUGACGCAGCGGGCGAGAAUCUUGCGCAGCAGGCCGAAGCCUGUUACGGCAACGCUGCGUGCGGGAUGACGUCCUACGAGUUGAAAACCACUUUGGCCUGUGACGAAGAGUGAGUGACGGUACUGGAUAAAGAAGCACCGGCUAACUACGUG